This 736-nucleotide ribosomal RNA is filed under the name Bacillus altitudinis. RNAcentral describes it as "bacterial SSU rRNA". It matches the Rfam family "Bacterial small subunit ribosomal RNA", at positions 48 to 768 of the family's 1533-position model. Lineage: Bacteria; Bacillati; Bacillota; Bacilli; Caryophanales; Bacillaceae. The record is from RNAcentral.
GCUAUACAUGCAGUCGAGCGGACAGAAGGGAGCUUGCUCCCGGAUGUUAGCGGCGGACGGGUGAGUAACACGUGGGUAACCUGCCUGUAAGACUGGGAUAACUCCGGGAAACCGGAGCUAAUACCGGAUAGUUCCUUGAACCGCAUGGUUCAAGGAUGAAAGACGGUUUCGGCUGUCACUUACAGAUGGACCCGCGGCGCAUUAGCUAGUUGGUGAGGUAACGGCUCACCAAGGCGACGAUGCGUAGCCGACCUGAGAGGGUGAUCGGCCACACUGGGACUGAGACACGGCCCAGACUCCUACGGGAGGCAGCAGUAGGGAAUCUUCCGCAAUGGACGAAAGUCUGACGGAGCAACGCCGCGUGAGUGAUGAAGGUUUUCGGAUCGUAAAGCUCUGUUGUUAGGGAAGAACAAGUGCAAGAGUAACUGCUUGCACCUUGACGGUACCUAACCAGAAAGCCACGGCUAACUACGUGCCAGCAGCCGCGGUAAUACGUAGGUGGCAAGCGUUGUCCGGAAUUAUUGGGCGUAAAGGGCUCGCAGGCGGUUUCUUAAGUCUGAUGUGAAAGCCCCCGGCUCAACCGGGGAGGGUCAUUGGAAACUGGGAAACUUGAGUGCAGAAGAGGAGAGUGGAAUUCCACGUGUAGCGGUGAAAUGCGUAAAGAUGUGGAGGAACACCAGUGGCGAAGGCGACUCUCUGGUCUGUAACUGACUCUGAUGAGCGAAAGCGUGGGGAG